GAGCGCGUAGCUCAGCCGGUAGAGCAUCUGACUUUUAAUCAGAGGGUCCUGGGUUCGAGUCCCAGCGCGCUCACCA
RNAcentral lists this transfer RNA (76 nucleotides) under Rhodoblastus acidophilus. RNAcentral describes it as "tRNA-Lys". It matches the Rfam family "tRNA". Rfam says of the family: Transfer RNA (tRNA) molecules are approximately 80 nucleotides in length. The record is from RNAcentral. Lineage: Bacteria; Pseudomonadati; Pseudomonadota; Alphaproteobacteria; Hyphomicrobiales; Rhodoblastaceae. RNAcentral also lists the same sequence under 56 other names.